RNAcentral lists this ribosomal RNA (657 nucleotides) under uncultured bacterium. RNAcentral describes it as "bacterial SSU rRNA". It matches the Rfam family "Bacterial small subunit ribosomal RNA", at positions 845 to 1500 of the family's 1533-position model. The record is from RNAcentral.
GCCGAAGCUAACGCGAUAAGCAAUCCGCCUGGGGAGUACGGUCGCAAGACUGAAACUCAAAGGAAUUGACGGGGGCCCGCACAAGCGGUGGAGCAUGUGGUUCAAUUCGACGCAACGCGAAGAACCUUACCUGGGCUCGAAAUGUAGUGGANCCGGGGUGGAAACAUCCCUUCCCGCAAGGGUCGCUAUAUAGGUGCUGCAUGGCUGUCGUCAGCUCGUGUCGUGAGAUGUUGGGUUAAGUCCCGCAACGAGCGCAACCCUUAUUGUCAGUUGCCAUCAUUCAGUUGGGCACUCUGGCGAAACCGCCUCGGAUAACGGGGAGGAAGGUGGGGAUGACGUCAAGUCCUCAUGGCCUUUAUGUCCAGGGCUACACACGUGCUACAAUGGUCGGUACAAACCGUCGCAAACCCGCGAGGGGGAGCUAAUCGGAAAAAGCCGACCUCAGUUCGGAUUGGAGUCUGCAACUCGACUCCAUGAAGCUGGAAUCGCUAGUAAUCGCGGAUCAGAACGCCGCGGUGAAUACGUUCCCGGGCCUUGUACACACCGCCCGUCACAUCACGAAAGUGGGCUGUACUAGAAGCAGGUGGGCCAACCCGCAAGGGGGGCAGCCUUCCAAGGUAUAACUCAUGAUUGGGGUGAAGUCGUAACCAAGGUACC